AUUGAACGCUGGCGGCAUGCUUUACACAUGCAAGUCGAACGGCAGCGCGGGCUUCGGCCUGGCGGCGAGUGGCGAACGGGUGAGUAAUGCAUCGGAACGUGCCCAGUAGUGGGGGAUAGCCCGGCGAAAGCCGGAUUAAUACCGCAUACGACCUGAGGGUGAAAGCGGGGGACCGAAAGGCCUCGCGCUAUUGGAGCGGCCGAUGUCGGAUUAGCUAGUUGGUGGGGUAAAGGCUUACCAAGGCGACGAUCCGUAGCUGGUCUGAGAGGACGACCAGCCAAACUGGGACUGAGACACGGCCCAGACUCCUAGGGGGGGCAGCAGGGGGGAAUUUUGGAAAAGGGGGGCAACCCUGAUCCAGCCAUGCCGGGUGCGGGAAGAAGGCCUUCGGGUUGUAAACCGCUUUUGUUGGGGAAAAAACUCUCUGGGCUAAUACCCCGGGGGGAGGACGGUACCGGAAGAAUAAGCACCGGCUAACUACGU
This 483-nucleotide ribosomal RNA is filed under the name uncultured bacterium. RNAcentral's name for it is "partial 16S ribosomal RNA". It matches the Rfam family "Bacterial small subunit ribosomal RNA", at positions 29 to 506 of the family's 1533-position model. The record is from RNAcentral.